CCUACGGGUGGCAGCAGUGAGGAAUAUUGGUCAAUGGGCGCGAGCCUGAACCAGCCAAGUCGCGUGAGGGAUGAAGGUUCUAUGGAUCGUAAACCUCUUUUAUAAGGGAAUAAAGUGUGGGACGUGUCCUAUUUUGUAUGUACCUUAUGAAUAAGGAUCGGCUAACUCCGUGCCAGCAGCCGCGGUAAUACGGAGGAUCCGAGCGUUAUCCGGAUUUAUUGGGUUUAAAGGGUGCGUAGGCGGGCUUUUAAGUCAGCGGUGAAAGUCUGUGGCUCAACCAUAGAAUUGCCGUUGAAACUGGGAGUCUUGAGGACGGUUGAGGUAGGCGGAAUUCGGGGGGGAGCGGUGAAAUGCUUAGAUAUCACGGAGAACCCCGAUUGCGAAGGCAGCUUACCAAGCCGAUAAUGACGUUGAUGCUCGAAAGUGUGGGGAUCAAACAGGAUUAGAUACCCCAGUAGUC
RNAcentral lists this ribosomal RNA (460 nucleotides) under uncultured bacterium. Its description in RNAcentral is "partial 16S ribosomal RNA". It matches the Rfam family "Bacterial small subunit ribosomal RNA", at positions 338 to 795 of the family's 1533-position model. The record is from RNAcentral.